AGUCACUGACAUUAGAUACCCGUGUAGUCCUAGCCGUAAACGAUACUCGCUAGGUGUCGGCCACGGUGCGACCGUUGUCGGUGCCGUAGGGAAGCCGUGAAGCGAGCCACCUGGGAAGUACGGCCGCAAGGCUGAAACUUAAAGGAAUUGGCGGGGGAGCACCACAACGGGUGGAGCUUGCGGUUUAAUUGGAUUCAACGCCGGAAAUCUUACCGGGACCGACAGCAAUAUGAAGGCCAGGCUGAAGACUUUGCCGGAUUAGCUG
Molecule: ribosomal RNA, 265 nt
Filed under: uncultured archaeon
Lineage: Archaea
Description: partial 16S ribosomal RNA
Rfam family: Archaeal small subunit ribosomal RNA
Source: RNAcentral